AAGAAAGCUCAGCCCCACGCAGAGUGCCCGGGGUAGUGGGUGGCUCAGCAGCCGCUGCUGCUCGGGGAGGCACAAGAAGGAGGAAGCAGAAGGCACCCUGAGACGGCAGCGUGGGAGGGCCACUGGGGCAGGAGGUGAGCCGCAGCUGCUAAGGUGGCCAAGGACGUCACGAGCAAAAGCACAGCACCAGGAUGAGUUUGCUAUUCGUGGACAACAGCAAGGAGACCCGCCUGACCUGCUGCAGGACUUGCGACAGGGAGUCACGGGAGCUUCCUGCCUCAUAGGCUCCCGGAGGGAGGGCCCCCGGCGCACGGGGAGCCGCGGGGAGCGCCGGUCUUUGGACCGGCGGCUCACUCCCUGCCUCGUAGGCCCUGGAAGGAGGGCUUCCGGCGCACAGGGAGCCACGGGCGGGGAGUGCCCGUCUUCCAGCUGGCUAGCUUCCUGCCUCAAAGGCCCCUGGAGGGAGGGCCCCCAGCACUUGGGGAGCCAUGUGGCGGCAAGCGCUGUUGCGCGCCAGCCCUUAGGCCGGCUGCCGCCGCUCAAUUGAGAUCUAUCAUGACACAGAGAAACAGUGACACAAUUGGCCCACCAUGCACCGACUGCAGUUGCCCACCCACAGACGUGUGUGAAUCAUGCAAACUUUGAACAACCCCUGGGAAUACAUGCCAUACAACGGGCCACUCUUGCUCCUGCCAUUGAGAACCAGAAAGGUCCAGAGCCAGCGGAGGAGCAGCUGCUGAACAAGGACUCAGAGAACAUGAGAAUGCAGACUAAGCCCACAGAGUCAGAGGUCCAGUGGACUGGGGUCAUGAGAGCCACUCAGAAGCUGUAAACCAGGAGGACCUUGCACAAUACCUGCAGAGACUCACUGGAAGCCAUUCUUCCCCUGACAGUACAGGCUGUGGUGGAGCUCUGGAGAAGUCUGCAGCAGGAUUCCUUCUGCCUGUGCUGACAGUUGGGGAGAGGACACUAACUGGUUGUGGGGUCACAAUGUGAUGGGAGACUGGAGAGAAAACGCUACAAAAAAUGGCUUUCGCCCCAGACAACUCACUUGAUUUUUGACAACCCUUAGGCUGUAACUACUUGUUAGAUCCUUCUUGUGUAUCUCUGUCUUCCUGAGAAACCACUUUGAAGAUACCACUAUGUAUCAUAGCAGCCAUUGAUAUUUUCCUACUAAUCUCUCCGUAACUCUGUAAUGUUUGCAUUGUUCCUAUCCUAUUUCAUAAAUGGAUCCAUGUUUAUUAUUAAAAAAAAUUUUAAAAAUACAAAAAUAAAAUAUUCACCCUCUAUUUAGGCUGUAAUACGGUGUUGAGGGACGCAAGGAUCAGUUGUC
RNAcentral lists this long non-coding RNA (1333 nucleotides) under Chinchilla lanigera (long-tailed chinchilla). Its description in RNAcentral is "lncRNA (ENSCLAG00000027287.1)". The record is from RNAcentral. Lineage: Eukaryota; Metazoa; Chordata; Mammalia; Rodentia; Chinchillidae.